AUUGAACGCUGGCGGCAGGCCUAACACAUGCAAGUCGAACGAGGGGCGGACGGGGGAGUAAUGUCUGGGAAACGGCCCGAUGGAGGGGGAAAACUACUGGAAACGGUAGCUAAUACCGCAUACCAUCGGAUGUGCCCAGAGGGGAUUAGCUGGUAGGGGGGGUAACGGCUCACCUAGGCGACGAUCCCUAGGUGGGCUGAGAGGAUGACCAGCCACACUGGAACUGAGCCACGGUCCAGACUCCUACGCGAGGCAGCAGUGGGGAAUAUUGCACAAUUGGCGCAAGCCUGAUGCAGCCAUGCCGCGUGUAUGAAGAAGGCCUUCGGGUUGUAAAGUACUUUCAGCGAGGAGGCGUUACUCGCAGAAGAAGCACCGGCUAACUCCGUGCCAGCAGCCGCGGUAAUAC
This 406-nucleotide ribosomal RNA is filed under the name uncultured bacterium. RNAcentral describes it as "partial 16S ribosomal RNA". It matches the Rfam family "Bacterial small subunit ribosomal RNA", at positions 29 to 526 of the family's 1533-position model. The record is from RNAcentral.